Molecule: ribosomal RNA, 253 nt
Filed under: uncultured bacterium
Lineage: Bacteria
Description: partial 16S ribosomal RNA
Rfam family: Bacterial small subunit ribosomal RNA
Source: RNAcentral
UACGGGGGGGGCAAGCGUUGUUCGGAAUUACUGGGCGUAAAGGGCGCGUAGGCGGCCUUCUAAGUCGGACGUGAAAUCCCUCGGCUUAACCGAGGAACUGCGUCCGAUACUGAAAGGCUUGAAUCCGGGAGAGGGAUGUGGAAUUCCAGGUGUAGCGGUGAAAUGCGCAGAUAUCAGGAGGAACACCAAUGGCGAAGGCAGCACUCUGGGACGUGACUGACGCUGAGACGCGAAAGCGUGGGGAGCAAACAGG